CAGGAUAUAAACUCCACUGGUCCUCCUCAAUCUGAGCUUUGACUUCCCUGCACUCUUGAACCCAUGAAUAUACACUAGCAGCAAAACUGGAUCAGGAACAGACGGAUGCUGGCAUUGUAUGCCAGUUCUGCUUCAUGAAAGAACUGGAUUAUCACGUCCUAGAAAUCCCCAUAUCUACGGAAAGAAAGACAACAAGCGUUCCGGUCACCAUACUUCCGCCUGAGCUUUUCACGGACAUUAGUCGCCCCUGGACGUCUCAUGAGAAGAAAAGUGGGAAGUUGAACCAAAAAGAGACGAUUCACCCAUUCAGGC
Long non-coding RNA from Syngnathoides biaculeatus (alligator pipefish), 312 nucleotides. RefSeq lists it as uncharacterized. The transcript is spliced from 3 exons. Lineage: Eukaryota; Metazoa; Chordata; Actinopteri; Syngnathiformes; Syngnathidae. The record is from RefSeq and is a predicted model, not a curated record.